ACUGGGCUGCUUCAGUCGGUAGAGUGUGAGGCUCUUAAUCUCAGGGUCGUGGGUUCAAGCCUCACGUUGGGCA
RNAcentral lists this transfer RNA (73 nucleotides) under Podarcis lilfordi (Lilford's wall lizard). Its description in RNAcentral is "tRNA.Lys". The record is from RNAcentral. Lineage: Eukaryota; Metazoa; Chordata; Lepidosauria; Squamata; Lacertidae.